CUUAAAUGUCUAAUCUCUGUGGAUUACCUGACCUCACUUGAGCCCUGAGGUAGAAGAUAAUAAUCACUGGAGGGAGAGAGGGAGAGACAGGAUUGGAAAGAAGGAGACACAUGGGGACAGAAAACGGAGAUAAAACAAUAUAGGGAAGACAUACCGGCACACUGGAGGAAGAACUUCACUUGGUCUGAAGUCUAAAGGACAACUAUAAAAGAGAGAGAACGCUGGAGAACAUCGAGGACUGUCUUGAACUCGAGUCCCAGAAGAAGACCACAAAGGUUGUGAUUAAUUUGACUUUGGAGCCUCUGAACAUGUCUCUGAACCAGUGUGAAUCAGUGGCAGUGAGCGUGGAGUCCCUUCUCACUGACGCCAAGAGGAUGCAGAUGCAGUGCCGCGAACGCAGCGAGCAGCUCUCCAUAGCCGCCACGCAGCUGAGGGUGGAGUCGGCCGCCCUGAGGGAGCAGUGCGAGUCCACCCAGCUCGACAUGGCGCGAAUCCGCCGGCAGCUGGACGAGCUGAUGGAUACCAAAGCCGCCUUCGAGGCUAGGGAGAGGCAGGCGCGUAAACUCAGCAAGCAUCUGUGAGGGGAAUGAGGAAGAGAGGGAUGGUGAUGGUGAUGGUGAACACUUGAUUUGCACUAAAGGUGGAAAGUGGGGGUGAGGAGGUGAGAAGAAGGGGUUUAAGUCUAGAAACUCUGAGGGGAGGGGGAGAAAUGGAUGAGGGAGGCAAGGAAGACAGAGAGAGAGAAGGAAGGGAAAAGAUGCCCAGUGAUGGGAGUCAGAGAAAGAAAGAAAGAAAAAAGCACUUUAUCAAUACUGACAGCUCUUUCUUGUUCCUAUUGGCUGUGGCUGCUAUGUGAAACGUGAAUACGCACAAGAACUUGAUCCCUCUC
Molecule: long non-coding RNA, 889 nt
Organism: Epinephelus moara (kelp grouper)
Lineage: Eukaryota; Metazoa; Chordata; Actinopteri; Perciformes; Serranidae
Exons: 3
Source: RefSeq, a predicted model, not a curated record